Molecule: ribosomal RNA, 488 nt
Filed under: uncultured bacterium
Lineage: Bacteria
Description: bacterial SSU rRNA
Rfam family: Bacterial small subunit ribosomal RNA
Source: RNAcentral
GACGAACGCUGGCGGCGUGCCUAACACAUGCAAGUCGAACGAAGAAUGUUUUUCGGAAUAUUCUUAGUGGCGGACGGGUGAGUAACGCGUGAACAAUCUGCCCCGUACAAAGGGAUAGCCUCGGGAAACCGGGAUUAAAACCAUAUAACACUUAACUGCCGCAUGGUAGUGAAGUCAAAUCGAUUAAGAGGUAUGGGAUGAGUUCGCGUCUGAUUAGCUAGUUGGUGAGGUAAGGGCUCACCAAGGCGACGAUCAGUAGCCGGCCUGAGAGGGUGAACGGCCACACUGGAACUGAGACACGGUCCAGACUCCUACGGGAGGCAGCAGUGGGGAAUAUUGCACAAUGGAGGGAACUCUGAUGCAGCGACGCCGCGUGAGUGAAGAAGGUCUUCGGAUCGUAAAACUCUGUCCUUGGUGAAGAAAGGACGGUAGCCAAGGAGGAAGCCCCGGCUAACUACGUGCCAGCAGCCGCGGUAAGCAUACUCGUA